AGUAACACGUGGGCAACCCACCUCUUGUUCCGGAAUACCCCGGGGAAACCCCGGAUCAAUGCCGGAUGAUGUGCUGCGCUGAAGGGCGCGGUACUAAAGAUAGCUUCGGCCUUCGACAGGAGACGGGCCCGCGUCCCAUUAGCUUGUUGGCGGGGUAACGGCCCACCAAGGCAACGAUGGGUAGCUGGUCUGAGAGGAUGAUCAGCCACACUGGGACUGAGACACGGCCCAG
Molecule: ribosomal RNA, 232 nt
Filed under: uncultured bacterium
Lineage: Bacteria
Description: partial 16S ribosomal RNA
Rfam family: Bacterial small subunit ribosomal RNA
Source: RNAcentral